This is a long non-coding RNA of Paramisgurnus dabryanus, 3882 nucleotides long. RefSeq lists it as uncharacterized. The record is from RefSeq and is a predicted model, not a curated record. Lineage: Eukaryota; Metazoa; Chordata; Actinopteri; Cypriniformes; Cobitidae.
UCUCACACCCUAUUCGUCACAUACUGCCGUUUGGUCAUGACCCCCUCACGUCCAUAGCGGACGUUGAGGGUACCCCCUAUUCGUCGCUUGAAAACGUAGAGGGUCGUCCUAUAGAUUUGAAUGCAAACCCCUCAUCUUUGAAUUUUGACGAAAUGGGUUUAUCGGAUUGCCUGCGCAAUAUGGUUUUAGACGAUUGAUUUUAUGCUGCAAAUGUGCAUUUUGCACAAGCGUGCGGCGCAUAAACGGUUACUAUUGAUGCGGUGACCAAACAUUUUCGUGGAGCGGAAACCCUUGUCUGAAUCGGUGUAUCACGACUUUUCUCUCUCUCUUUUUUAUAUAGAUAUAUUUGGUAUACAAUAAAAUGACAUAUUUACAGGGCUGUAUUUGCUGUGUGUUUAAAACAUGCCUUAAUUAACGUAGGAUAUUUUAUUAUUUUCGAUCACGCACAGUUGGUCAUUCCCCCUCACGUCCAUAAGCUGACGUUGAGGGUACCCCCCAAUUCGUCGCAUGACAACGUAGAAGGGUCGUCCGCGAUAUUUGAAUCCAAAUCCCUCAUCUUUGGAUUUUGGCGAAAUGGGGGUAUUCAUGCCUGCGCUGCAAAGUAUGUUUUAGGCGAUUGAUUUUAUGGUUCAAAUGUGUGUUUUGCAGUAGCGUGCGGCUGUUACAUUCAUUGGUGCGGUGACUACAUUUUCGUGGGGCAGAAUCCCUUGUCUAAAGCGGUAUCACGACUUUCUCUCUCUUUAAUAUGCUCUACAUUAAAAUGACUGUAUAUUUGCUGUAUGUUUAAUUAAGAUAGGACCCAGUCUCAAGGCAGUUCGUGUAAUUUAAUCUAUUGAUUCGUGUCCAUGGACACGAUUUUCCCCUUUCGUGCCAGUCAGAACGACUUUCAAUCUAAUGUAUUUCAAUAGGAAGUAUUUUUCGUGCCUGCAUCACGUUUUUUUUCCUAUUAUUUUUUUCGUGUUUAUAAGCACGAAUUUAAUCUAAUGUAUUGCAAUAGUAUAUACCAGGGAGCCAUGUUGUUUUACUUUAUUUGUCAUUAAUUGAUUACACUUUAAGCGCUACUUUACUCAACAUUUAAUCAGGAGAUGUUUAUCCUUUUUUAUUUGUUUAAUAUUCUGCAUGAUUGUUGUAAACCAUUGUAAACCAUCGUCAGCGGUACAAAAUUGUUAAUUUACGAGAAUGCAGAGUUUUUCUACUGCCAUCGUUUACAAAUGUUGCCGUUUUUUCUGAGAAAUAUUGAUUUUUCGAUCGGUUUCGUGUGUCAAAUACAAGAGUAAAUACUACAGUACCCAUGAGCCUUAUCGACAUCUACUAUGGUGAAGGCACCAGCUAAAACUACAUGUGGGCCCGCUGCAGAUCACAAUAUUUUCUCAACACAUGAACACUAACGUGUGCUUGAUAAUUCAACAAUACGAUGUUAUGGCCAUCAAUUUUGAUUGUUUCUACUUUGAUUGUAAAAAAAAAGAAGUCAGUUUCGGACGCCUGCAUUUCCCAGAAUCCUCUCUGCCUCCGUUGCUAUGGAAUCUGAGCCAGUCCUCUUUGCUAUUGGGUGAUUUCUUCUUCGGUACUCGUGACAGGGAUUCUCUCAUUACGCGAAAAUCACUGCCAGGUGAGUCACGAUGCUUUCGUUUAAAGUUCACUAUUUGUUUAAAUGUUAUAAUUCACGCCUUUCUUUUGGCAUUAGGCUGACAUUGCCAUACCCGUACGAAAAUGAACCAUGUUUUUUGUGGUAAAAGUGUAGUAACUACGGUUUGUGUAUCGAUUAUUUGCAAAAUGGUUUUAGUAAACCAAACAUGGUUUAACUUUUUUUUUUUUUCAAAUUCAUGGUUCUUUCUUAACUGUAGUAAAACAAUGGUUAAUUUUUGCAAGGGAAGUCUAAUUAAAGUCCCAUUAAUAAGCUAACGUUAACCUAGUUUAAGUUAUCAACCUUUAGGUUUAACUUAACGUGGUCAUUGCUUUAUUGUGUGAGCUUAAUAUAGUCUAAAGUUUUAAUAUUUGUCUUAUAAUAUUUGAAAGAAAAUAGGAAUCCCCACUAUUGGGGUACACUAUUUAAGCCUUAUAUUAGAGCUAAUUUACACUACAUAAUAAACAUUUUCUGUUCUCCCUACAGAUCCUGUCAUUCGAAUCACCUGUUACAACUUAGAUUUAUCGUUGCUUAUUUUAUAAACCCAAAGGCACUUUUAAGAGCCAUCCAUCCUCUCUUUCUUUAUCAUUUUCUGUCUAUUUCUUGCAACCUAUCUCUAUAUACUGCAUUUGUUGUACCUGUCUGUCCAGCUGUGUGUUUGUCCUUCUGUCUUUGUCUGCUUUGCAAUGGCCACCAGAUAUACCCCUCACAAACAGGAUCCCCGCUACCAAGAGGGGAGGCUCAUGGCUCUUGAGCUGAACCAUGACCACAUUCUAGCUGAAGCCAAGAGAGCAGCUGUGGAGACGAAACGUUUAUGCCCUAGAAGAGACCCUUCACAGACCUCUAAAAGGAUCUUUGUUGGCUGGGGCAUGCCGAGUCCUUGGGAGGCAAGGAGGGGUGACGCCAAGCCUCAGCUACAGGUGCAGAGAGUGGUUCUGUGGGGACCGUGGUGUAUUACGUCACAAAAAACAGCCACUCCACAAUAGGGAAUGUGUAAUUUAAUAGGUUUUUUGAAUCCAUCCGUCCAACCAAAUGCAUCAUUAAAGGGGAAGAUGGAUAUUGCACUCAACACAAGGUAUGUUCUCACAAAAGCCCUAAUUUUGAUGUUUUUAUUUGUCUUCAGCCAGUAACAGGUAAUCUAAACUAGUGGUUUUCUUUCUUUUUGGCAGUCGGCAAGAUGACAUACUGCUGUUGUAAACGCACAAACGUAAUAAUGCUUUCAGGCAAACCAAUCAUUUUAAUUACCAUCAAUGGUAAAACCAAUUCACAGUUUAGAUUUCCAUUUUAGAUUUGAUGUUUUUCACACUAUGUUUUGAUGUUUUCAAUGCUGUGGCAUUGUGCAGUAGAGUCAAAGUGCAUUGUAUAGCACAUUACAAUCCAAGUAGGGCAUCGUGAGCAAGGCCUGUUGUGGGAGUCUAAACGGGGGUCAACUGCACACAAUUUAUGUUUAGUUAUUAUUUAUUUAUUUUGUGAUUUUAGAUAUGUUCAUCAUUCACCAGUUCUCACUUCCCUGGACUUCAACCUUGCUACACACAUGGGCGUUUUGACUUGCAUCAGCCACUGUAUGUCUGUUAAACAUGCAAACAGCAAAGGACCCCAGACCUGAAAGACCUUCUGAGGAGUGGAUAUUGACCAGCUUCAAUAAACACCACCACACUUUACACACUGGACCUCCUGAUCUCCUUUCAAGAACUCAAGGUCAUCUCUCCAAGAUUCUCCAGACAAGCCUUCGCAAAGCUGCUGGAGCAUCGCACGAAGUGUGGAGGAAGAUCUGGAUAUAUCAACGGCGAUGCACUGCAACGCAGCUUCUUGGAGUUUUCAUACGCUUCAUUUGAAGCAGACCAGCUCUGGUGUGGUGCUCCUUUCACCUGCCCAGCCUGAACGCUAGAAUUGUUGGCUGCAUCAGCAGAUCGAAACAGAAAGCUAUAUCACUUUUGCCCAAACAGAAGACUGUGGCUUGCAAAUAUUGGCCAUACUUGAAGAAGGUUGCUAGUGUCCUUCCUGAUCUUCAGGAGCUGACCUCAAUGAAACCUUUUCUUAAUGUUAUGCAUGCUUGAGCCACGCUACAAAGUGUGAGAUUAAAUGAAGUGGUAGGAACAGGGACAACCACCGGUGUGUGGAACAAGUGAACAGCUGCCUAUCACGUUGUGCCCGUACAACCAAAUGGGUGGAUGCUUACAUGCUUACAUUGCAUGCAAUGGGCUGGAACCAUAAAAAGUAUCUCUCACAUAUAUUGUGGAAAGUGCCUGAUGUAGAAA